Molecule: long non-coding RNA, 331 nt
Organism: Rosa chinensis
Lineage: Eukaryota; Viridiplantae; Streptophyta; Magnoliopsida; Rosales; Rosaceae
Exons: 2
Source: RefSeq, a predicted model, not a curated record
AGUCUCGCUGCUGUUAAAAAAUUUGCUUGAUCGAGUUUGGAACCUUCAGAUUCUAUUCAGGUUCUGGACUGGCUUUUUUGGCUGAGGUGUCUUUGGUUGGACAUUUGGACAGAAAUUGCAAACCACUCGCUUCAACUUUAAAGGUUUGACACCAUGGCUGCACAGAUUAAGUUCCUGGAAUAGUGGGAAGACAAGAGUUUGUAUCAAUAUGUUGGCUAUUGAAACCAAGUUCCUGCACAAACUCUAUAUGUGGCAUGUUUUACGUAGUUGUAUCAGCUUUUGGGAAAUGCUUUUAACAUUAAGAGAUAUAUGGAAUAGGUUUGAUUACUCA